This 460-nucleotide ribosomal RNA is filed under the name uncultured bacterium. RNAcentral's name for it is "partial 16S ribosomal RNA". It matches the Rfam family "Bacterial small subunit ribosomal RNA", at positions 338 to 795 of the family's 1533-position model. The record is from RNAcentral.
CCUACGGGCGGCAGCAGUGAGGAAUAUUGGUCAAUGGACGCAAGUCUGAACCAGCCAUGCCGCGUGCAGGAAGACGGCCCUAUGAGUUGUAAACUGCUUUUGUACGAGGGUAAACGCAGAUACGCGUAUCUGUCUGAAAGUACCGUACGAAUAAGGAUCGGCUAACUCCGUGCCAGCAGCCGCGGUAAUACGGAGGAUUCAAGCGUUAUCCGGAUUUAUUGGGUUUAAAGGGUGCGUAGGCGGUCAGUUAAGUUAGAGGUGAAAUUCCGAGGCUCAACUUCGGAAUUGCCUCUGAUACUGUUCGGCUAGAGAGUAGUUGCGGUAGGCGGAAUGUAUGGUGUAGCGGUGAAAUGCUUAGAGAUCAUACAGAACACCGAUUGCGAAGGCAGCUUACCAAGCUACUUCUGACGUUGAGGCACGAAAGCAUGGGGAGCAAACAGGAUUAGAUACCCGAGUAGUC